ACGGGUGAGUAACACGUAUCCAACCUGCCGUCUACUCUUGGCCAGCCUUCUGAAAGGAAGAUUAAUCCAGGAUGGCAUCAUGAGUUCACAUGUCCGCAUGAUUAAAGGAUUUUCCGGUAGACGAUGGGGAUGCGUUCCAUUAGAUAGUAGGCGGGGUAACGGCCCACCUAGUCAACGAUGGAUAGGGGUUCUGAGAGGAAGGUCCCCCACAUUGGAACUGAGACACGGUCCAA
This 233-nucleotide ribosomal RNA is filed under the name uncultured bacterium. RNAcentral describes it as "partial 16S ribosomal RNA". It matches the Rfam family "Bacterial small subunit ribosomal RNA", at positions 102 to 334 of the family's 1533-position model. The record is from RNAcentral.